Molecule: ribosomal RNA, 504 nt
Filed under: Lepidosaphes tokionis
Lineage: Eukaryota; Metazoa; Arthropoda; Insecta; Hemiptera; Diaspididae
Description: eukaryotic LSU rRNA
Source: RNAcentral
AUCUGGGCGGCGAAAUUCAGGAAGACUGGCUGGCUUCGCGCUGGUUCGGUCGUUUGAUAUUUUCGUCGCCAUGUCAGACGUCGCGAUCUGUUCGUCGUCGGUCCUUGCUCGGAGGAAUCGCGAUCGAGUUCGUUGUGUGCGCGCUUCGGUGCGUUGCACGGUGAAGACGUGAAUCUCUGGCUGACGACGGACAGUAAGCAAUGGUGACCGACUUUGUGUCUCGUACGUGAGGUUGGCACCGAUCAGCGACGAUUUCUUCGGGCCUCUUUCCGACCCGUCUUGAAACACGGACCAAGGAGUCUAACAUGCGCGCGAGUCGCGGGGUAUCACAAUGAAACCCGUACACUUGAAGGCGUAAUGAAAGUAAAUAGGGAAGAUGGUGUUCCGAGUAUACGUACCGUGAUUAUUCGCGGCCGGACGCCCGCAUUCCCGGGGCGUCUCAACGGCUCAUCGCGGGUGCGGACAAUCGUCUCACGGGAUGGUUGUCGGUCUGCGAUGGUCCGA